RNAcentral lists this ribosomal RNA (279 nucleotides) under uncultured bacterium. RNAcentral's name for it is "partial 16S ribosomal RNA". It matches the Rfam family "Bacterial small subunit ribosomal RNA", at positions 506 to 784 of the family's 1533-position model. The record is from RNAcentral.
UGCCAGCAGCCGCGGUAAUACGGAGGGUGCAAGCGUUGUUCGGAAUUAUUGGGCGUAAAGCGCGUGUAGGCGGUUCGUUAAGUCUGAUGUGAAAGCCCGGGGCUCAACCCCGGAAGUGCAUUGGAAACUGGCGAACUUGAGUACGGGAGAGGAAAGUGGAAUUCCGAGUGUAGGGGUGAAAUCCGUAGAUAUCGGAAGGAACACCAGUGGCGAAGGCGACUAUCUGGAUAGAAACUGACACUGAGUCACGAAAGCAUGGGUAGCGAACAGGAUUAGAUA